AGGACGAACGCUGGCGGCGUGCUUAAUACAUACAAGUCGAACGGAGCUUAGCUGAUAGUUACUAGAGGCGAAAGCUUAGUGGCGGACGGGUGAGUAACGCGUGGGUAAUCUGCCCCUAAGUCCGGGAUAACAGAGCGAAAGUUCUGCUAAGACCGGAUACUCUUUACCAGUUGCAUAACGGGUAAAGGAAAGGUAACGCUUAGGGAUGAGCCCGCGUCCCAUUAGCUAGUUGGUGAGGUAAGAGCUCACCAAGGCGACGAUGGGUAGCCGGCCUGAGAGGGUGGACGGCCACACUGGGACUGAGACACGGCCCAGACUCCUACGGGAGGCAGCAGUAGGGAAUUUUCCGCAAUGGGCGACAAGCCUGACGGAGCAACGCCGCGUGAGGGACGAAGGUCUUCGGAUCGUAAACCUUUGUCAUCGAGGACGAUAAUGACGGUACUCGAGGAGGAAGCCCCGGCUAACUACGUGCCAGCCGCCGC
This 482-nucleotide ribosomal RNA is filed under the name uncultured bacterium. RNAcentral's name for it is "bacterial SSU rRNA". It matches the Rfam family "Bacterial small subunit ribosomal RNA", at positions 26 to 518 of the family's 1533-position model. The record is from RNAcentral.